This 780-nucleotide ribosomal RNA is filed under the name Raffaelea sp. PL336. RNAcentral's name for it is "SSU rRNA". It matches the Rfam family "Eukaryotic small subunit ribosomal RNA", at positions 251 to 1036 of the family's 1831-position model. Lineage: Eukaryota; Fungi; Ascomycota; Sordariomycetes; Ophiostomatales; Ophiostomataceae. The record is from RNAcentral.
UCAUGAUAACUUCUCGAAUCGCACGGCCUUGCGCCGGCGAUGGUUCAUUCAAAUUUCUGCCCUAUCAACUUUCGACGGCUGGGUCUUGGCCAGCCAUGGUGACAACGGGUAACGGAGGGUUAGGGCUCGACCCCGGAGAAGGAGCCUGAGAAACGGCUACUACAUCUAAGGAAGGCAGCAGGCGCGCAAAUUACCCAAUCCCGACGCGGGGAGGUAGUGACAAUAAAUACUGAUACAGGGCUCUUUAGGGUCGUGUAAUUGGAAUGAGUACAGUUUAAUUCCCUUAACGAGGAACAAUUGGAGGGCAAGUCUGGUGCCAGCAGCCGCGGUAAUUCCAGCUCCAAUAGCGUAUAUUAAAGUUGUUGCAGUUAAAAAGCUCGUAGUUGAACCUUGGGCCUGGCUGGCCGGUCCGCCUCACCGCGUGCACUGGUCCGGCCGGGCCUUUCCCUCUGGGGAGCCGCAUGCCCUUCACUGGGCGUGCCGGGGAACCAGGACGUUUACUUUGAAAAAAUUAGAGUGUUCAAAGCAGGCUUAUGCUCGGAUACAUUAGCAUGGAAUAAUGGAAUAGGACGUGCGGUUCUAUUUUGUUGGUUUCUAGGACCGCCGUAAUGAUUAAUAGGGACAGUCGGGGGCAUCAGUAUUCAAUUGUCAGAGGUGAAAUUCUUGGAUUUAUUGAAGACUAACUACUGCGAAAGCAUUUGCCAAGGAUGUUUUCAUUAAUCAGGAACGAAAGUUAGGGGAUCGAAGACGAUCAGAUACCGUCGUAGUCUUAACCAUAAA